AUGACUGGUUCGGUCGACGCGUUCGCGGAGCUGGACCGCUCAAUCACCGGGAAGGUGCGGUUCACGGACGGAUCCGUGGUGGAGAUCCACGGGCGCGGGACCGUUGUCUUCGCCGACAAAGGGGGUGAUCACAGGGCGUUUACGGACGUCUACUUCAUCCCGGCGCUCAAGAGCAGCGUCGUGAGUGUCGGACAGCUCGACGAGGGCUGGUUCGACAUUGGCAUCCGUCGCGGUGUUCUCAUCGUGCGCGACCAGCAGAAGAGGCUGCUCAUCGAGGUAACCCGCUCGGCAAACCACCUGUACAAGCUCUUCUUUCGACCCGUGCAUCCUGUGUGCCUUGCCGUGGGCCAUGUCUCCAACGCGUGGUGUUGGCAUGCCCGGCUAGGACACCAACACUUCGACGGGCUGCGGAAGAUGGCGCGAGGCAACCUCGUUCGCGGGCUACCUCACAUCAAGCACGCCGACGAGCUAUGCGAUGAGUGUCUUGCCGGGAAGCAGCGGCGCCUGCCCUUCCCCGAAAAGUCACGCUAUCGGGCGCAGAAACCCCUGGAGCUGGUUCAUGGGGACCUCUGCGGCCCAAUCACCCCGGCAACGCCAGGAGGGCGUCGCUACAUCCUGCUGCUCGUCGAUGACUACAACAGGUUCAUGUGGGUGCUGCUCCUCACCUCCAAGGACGAGGCGGAGCGAGCCAUCGUCAAGCAGCAAGCGGAAGCAGAGGUCGAGUGCAGCCACAAGCUGCGCGUGCUGCGCACGGACCGUGGCGGCGAGUUCACGUCGGCCACGUUCUACAAGCACUGCGCCGAGAAAGGGGUGCAGCGUCAUCUCACAACCCCUUACUCACCGCAGCAGAACGGCGUCGUCGAGCGGAGGAACCAGACGGUGCUCGGGAUGGCACGUUGCAUGCUCAACGCAAAGCAGGUGCCGAGCACGUAUUGGGGGUAG
RNAcentral lists this ribosomal RNA (942 nucleotides) under Triticum aestivum (bread wheat). RNAcentral describes it as "partial small subunit ribosomal RNA". Lineage: Eukaryota; Viridiplantae; Streptophyta; Magnoliopsida; Poales; Poaceae. The record is from RNAcentral.